UACGGGGGGGGCAAGCGUUGUUCGGAAUUACUGGGCGUAAAGGGCUCGUAGGCGGCCAACUAAGUCCGACGUGAAAUCCCAAGGCUUAACCUUGGAACUGCGUCGGAUACUGGAUGGCUUGAAUUCGGGAGAGGGAUGCAGAAUUCCAGGUGUAGCGGUGAAAUGCGUAGAUAUCUGGAGGAACACCGGUGGCGAAGGCGGCAUCCUGGACCAACACUGACACUGAAAAGCGAAAGCCAGGGGAGCAAACGGG
Molecule: ribosomal RNA, 253 nt
Filed under: uncultured bacterium
Lineage: Bacteria
Description: partial 16S ribosomal RNA
Rfam family: Bacterial small subunit ribosomal RNA
Source: RNAcentral